This 425-nucleotide ribosomal RNA is filed under the name uncultured bacterium. Its description in RNAcentral is "partial 16S ribosomal RNA". It matches the Rfam family "Bacterial small subunit ribosomal RNA", at positions 354 to 796 of the family's 1533-position model. The record is from RNAcentral.
GUGGGGAAUCUUGCGCAAUGGGCGAAAGCCUGACGCAGCCAUGCCGCGUGAAUGAUGAAGGUCUUAGGAUUGUAAAAUUCUUUCACCGGGGACGAUAAUGACGGUACCCGGAGAAGAAGCCCCGGCUAACUUCGUGCCAGCAGCCGCGGUAAUACGAAGGGGGCUAGCGUUGCUCGGAAUUACUGGGCGUAAAGGGCGCGUAGGCGGACAGUUUAGUCAGAGGUGAAAGCCCAGGGCUCAACCUUGGAAUUGCCUUUGAUACUGGCUUUCUUGAGUACGGGAGAGGUGAGGGAAACUCGGAGUGUAGAGGGGAAAUUCGUAGAUAUUCGGAAGAACCCCAGUGGCAAAGGCGACUCACUGGCCCGUUACUGACGCUGAGGCGCGAAAGCGUGGGGAGCAAACAGGAUUAAAACCCCCAGUAGUCC